CCUACGGGAGGCAGCAGUGAGGAAUAUUGGGCAAUGGGCGUAAGCCUGAACCAGCAACGCCGCGUGAGGGAUGAAGGUUCUAUGGAUCGUAAACCUCUUUUAUAAGGGCAUAAAGUGUGGGACGAGUCCUAUUUUGUAUGUACCUUAUGAAUAAGGAUCGGCUAGCUCCGUGCCAGCAGCCGCGGUAAUACGGAGGAUCCGAGCGUUAUCCGGAUUUAGUGGGUUUAAAGGGUGCGUAGGCGGCCUUUUAAGUCAGCGGUGAAAGUCUGUGGCUCAACCACCGAACUGCCGUUGAAACUGGGGGGCUUGAGUAUGUGUGAGGCAGGCGGAAUGCGUGGUGUAGCGGUGAAAUGCUUAGAUAUCACGAAGAACUCCGAUUGCGAAGGCAGCUUACUAAACUGCCACUGACAUUGAUGCUCGAAAGUGUGGGUAGCAAACAGGAUUAGAUACCCUUGUAGUC
This 460-nucleotide ribosomal RNA is filed under the name uncultured bacterium. RNAcentral describes it as "partial 16S ribosomal RNA". It matches the Rfam family "Bacterial small subunit ribosomal RNA", at positions 338 to 795 of the family's 1533-position model. The record is from RNAcentral.